UCAGGAUAGCUCAGCUGGUAGAGCAGAGGACUGAAAAUCCUNUA
This 44-nucleotide transfer RNA is filed under the name Aniseia argentina. RNAcentral's name for it is "partial tRNA-Phe". The record is from RNAcentral. Lineage: Eukaryota; Viridiplantae; Streptophyta; Magnoliopsida; Solanales; Convolvulaceae.